GCCAUCAGCACCCCUUUCCACGAAGAUGUCUGGUGUUCACUCUCAGAUGAAGAGAGGGAGUACUCAAACUCUAGGAUUCCUCAUAGCCCAAUAGACAGCAGCUUAACAGAAUUUCAACAGAAUGUUAAUUACACACAUAUAAUGAAUACUAUGCAUCAGGUAUUGUUCAAAUAACUUUACAAAUAUUAACUCAUUUAGCCUUAUACUACCCUAAUGAGGCAGGUAAAAUUAUUACCCCCAUUUUAUAGAGGAGGAAAUUGGGGCACAGAGAGGUUAAGUAACUGGCCCAGGGUCACACAGCCAGGAAGCCCAAAAGCCAGGAGUUGGCUCACAUUUUUAAUCUCUGCACUCUGCUGCCUAUGGAUUUGUUGGUUUCCUUCUUUUUCCAAUCAUUAAAUUAUCCUAACAGUUUUAUUGAGAUAUAAUUUAUAUACCGUAAACAUCACCCAUUUUAAGUGUACAAUUGAACAAUUUUAGUAAACUUAUCAAAUUGUGCAACCAUCACAACAAGCCAACUUUAGAGCAUUUCUAUCACCCUGGGAAAGAUUCUUUGUGCCCUUUUGCAGUCACUGUUAGUUCCAACCUCUGCUUGAAGCAACCAUUAAUCUUUCUGUCUCUGUAGAUUUGUCCUGGAAAUUUCCUAUACAUAGAAUCAUACAAUACGUGGUCUUUUGAGUCUAGCUUCUGUCACUUAACAUGAUGUAUUUGAGGUAGAUCCAUAUUGCAGCAUGUAUCACUCCAUUCGUUUUUGUGAUCUAAUAAUAUUCCAUUAUAUGGAUUUACUGCAUUUAGUUUAUCCAUUCACCAGCCGAGAGGCUUUUCCAUUGUUUCCACUUUUUGGCUGUGAUAAAUAAAGCUGCUAUGAACAUCUGUGUACAAGCCUUUGACUGGACAUAUAUUUCUCUUUCUCUUUAGGUAUAUGCCUAGGAGUGGAAUUGCUGAUUUGUGUGGUACAUUUAUGUUUACUUGUUGUAAAAACUGCUAAAUCUAUUUCCCAAAGUGCUGCACCAUUUUCCAUUCCACAGCCAUGGAUUUUAUAGACUGUGAGGUCCCGAUGCAAAUCCUAGGGCCACCCAUACAAGCAGACAGAGCCCAAUUUAGGGUCCUGGAACCAACCUAGGUGUAAAAUGAAGCCAUCUGGGGAUGGGGGGGACUGAGUCAAGCUCAGCCUCUCUGCAGCUUCUGAUGUCUGAGAAACAGGUGGGCAAGAAAUCAGCUGUUCUACUUUCUAAUCCAGAAAAACAUUGCCCUCUGGGACCUAGAGCACUUGUUAGGGGAAAAUCAGCAAAGUGGCGAUAACACCAAAAGGAAAAACAGAAACACACUGUGGAGACGUCAAGGGCGAUCUCAGCAAAGGAAGAAAACCAGCUUGAGAAGGCAGCAGUAAAGGCAGUUGGCCUGCAGCUCCCAUGCUCCGGAAGCCUUUAGUUCCCACUGCCAGCAUCCUCAGAGCCCUUUCCGACUACCUCGGAGGCCAGCGAGAGGAUAAUGGGGUGAUGGCAAGGGGGAGCCCCAGGACUCAGCUGCCUAUGGCUCUGAACAGACAGUGCUGGUCCAGCCAGGGAAGGCCUUCUCCAGAGGGGCACUGCUGGAGGAAGGAAGGAAGGAACGCCGCUGCCCGCCUGCCAGCCAGGAUAGCUCUGAGUGUCACCAGCUCUCCAGUUUGUGCCACAUGUUAUCUAAGGAGUCAUUUCACUAUUUAAUAAAGAGAUCCAGCUUUUGAUAGAGAGAAUUUGACAUGUCUGGCAGCAGCUGCAAAGGACAGAACUUUAUAAUGAUGGCCCGUGGUGGGUGUCUACACACACAACUGCCUGCCCAGCUUCCUCCUGACACGUCCCCUCACAUGGGAGUGAAACCGACAUGGCACUGCUGAAACACACAGAGUACACAGGGAUGGCACAGGGGGCAUGCCUUGCAGAAUGGAAUGGGCCUCUGCUUGCUGCUGAAUGCCACGUGCUCAGGACAGGUGGUAACUGUACUGGGUCGAAUUGCGUCCCUUCAAAUUCAUGUCCACAAGGACGCUGUGAAGGUGCUCCUAUUUGGAAAUAGGGCCUUUGCAGGUAUAAUUAAAGGGAAAUGAGGUCAUAUCAGAUUACAGUGGGCCGUAAUCCAAUGACUGGUAUUCUUUCCUAUAAGAGGGAAAUUUGGGCACAGACACAGAGAAGACACCGUGUGAAGACACAGACACAGAGGAGAGAAACUCAUAUGAAGACAAAGGCAGAGGCUGGGGUGAUACAGCUAUAAACCAAGGGACCCCAAGUGUUGCCAGGAAACCCCCAGAAGCCAGGACAAAACAAAGUAGGAUCCUUCCCUAGAGAUUUCAGAGGGACCAUGGCCCUACUAACACCUUGAUUUUAGACUCGUGACCCCCAGAACUGUGAGAUAAUACAUUCCUGUGGUUUAAAGCCACCCAGUUUAUGGUGCUUUGCCAAGGCAGCUCCAGGAAAUGGAACAAAAGCUGAGCCCAGGCUGCAGGUAACAAACUGUCCAUGCUGGCAGGUGGCAGAGGGGGAAGGACAGGCAGAGAGGGCCGCAUGGAGGAGGCACCUCCUUUAGUUGUGCCUGAGGUUCAGGCAGAAGGCCCAGAGAACAGAAGUGAAACUAGAGGCUCAGCAUGGCUCCUGGUAGAAUUGGCUUUAAUGGCUCAAGUUUUUUCAUCUUUGCUUCCUCCAACUUGCCUGGAACAGGUACUGCACACGGUAGGUGCCCAUUACGUGCUUAGUGUUUAUGGAUGAGCUCUGCAUGUGGGAAAACAAACGACAUGAUUGGCCAGUUGGCCUGGAGAGAGCUAGCCCAGCUUUAUUUAAAAAGCCAUUCAGAGGCGGCUGCUAUGUGCUGAGUUGGCAGAGAAGCAUCAGGCCUCUGAAAGUCAGCAAUAAAGAGUCGGCUUACCGAGGCCACAUGCUGAGCCCAUAAUCCCACUUCAGAAGCUGUAGCUUUAGCCUGAGCAUGACCCGACACAUGAAAUUGCUUGGCUCUUCCCAGUAGCCAGAGCCACGGAGCACAGGAGUGAGAGGCCAGCCACAGAGGAGGGUGGAUAUCUGUGUACCGCGUGGGAUUCUGUGUGUCGCAGCGCCAGGCCUGGCAUAGAAGUCAGUGGUCAGCACUGGGGCUGGGGACUUGACUGAGCUGUUGACAGGCCUGUUGAUCACUUGCCCAGUGGCCUGCCACCUCCUGUUAGGAGCUAGCUGGUACCGGGCAGGGAAGUCCCUCUGUGAGGAUCUAGCAUGACCAGUCCACUGAAAUUCCUUCAGGCACGUAGAGGACUUUAUAGUCUACCUGGCUUCCUCCCAGGACCCAGGGUGGGAUUGGCUCAGCUAGGCAGCUGGUGAGCUAGAGAAAUGGGAAUGACCCUCCACAUCAGCCUGACACCGGGUAUUAAAUCACUGCACCAAGUAUGUCAACACAACGCCCAGGUGGCCGCUGGACAAUAAGGCCACAGGGCCCCAGAGAGUGGCUGGACUUUGCUGUCUCGUCUGUACCUUGUGUGAGAGCUUGAGACUCAGAGGAGCCCGUGGGGCACAUGGAGGUGAACUUAGUCCCAGAUACAUUGUAUGGACGUGGUCAUGGGACACCAGUACUCAACAGCCUAGGCACAGAAAAGAACAUCACUAACACAGGCUGGAAUGGGUCACAGGCACAGGCUUUAUCAGGCGACAAGGAUCAUUGAUUGGCCAUGAGUCGCAGUCCUGUGGGUGAAGAACAAGCCACAGAUACUGGAGCAUCAAUAUCUGGGGGUCUUUGUGAUGGUGUCCAGAGAGUCCAGACCACUGAGGAGGUGGCGUCCACAGUGGAUGAAUACACAACGGGCAGGCCAGGUUCUGCCAGUGACCCCAAGCAGAGCACCAGCCCCUGUGGCCACCUACCCCGCUGUGCCCUCUGCUCCUAUGUCACUUGACCCAAAGCAGGUGGGGAGCAGGAGGCAGGGAGCCAGCAUCAGGGUGCAGAAAGGGCAGGGAGGGGACAAAGCCCAGAGGAGAGCUGGAGCCACCUCUCGGAGGAAGACCUGGCCCCAUCCCCUCCCCACUCCUACUGAGACCUUCCGCUGCAGUCAGCAAGGGAUGCAGGGCCCGGGGCUGAGUGCUGGGAAGGAGGGGCGGGUGUGAAGGGGGAAGGCAAAUGGGUGGAGCCGGUGCUGGAGCUGUCCCAGAGCUGGCUCAGAGCCCUGGGGAGGGAGCUGACCCUCUGAGCCUGGGUUAAGACGGAGGAGGAGGGAGUCAGCUCUCGACCCCAAAACCACCUGUUUCCUCUCACUCUAGCACUGGUGGAGGGGAAGCUGCUCAGGACAGGGCGCCACAGCUGGAGAGGGACGUGAUCAGAUGCAGGACAGAGCAGACAGGUCCUGGCACGGGCCAGGAGCUGAGACACUCAACACUGAUGGCUGCAAACCACCCGCACCAUCAGCCGGGGGCUCCCUCAGGGCUGGCUUUGGUGUCUAUCAGAAAAGGGUCUGAGGUCCUAGUCCCACCCGCUCAAUGCUUCUGCCAGGCAGGACAGGGCCAAGGAGCAAUAGUGGUUGCAUUUCCUUUAAAACUACUGUUUCAUUAAAAAACAAAACAAAACAAAACAAAAAACUAGCUCUGAACAUGAAGAAUUAUAUCCAAGAAAGACACCUUGACAUUUUUUGCUUUAUUAAACAUCAUUCACUGAGAAUUUCCAAAGCACUGUGUGGUGCCUAGACCUGUGUACCAGCGCUCUGGGGGUCGG
RNAcentral lists this long non-coding RNA (4707 nucleotides) under Homo sapiens (human). RNAcentral's name for it is "HSALNT0028491". The record is from RNAcentral. Lineage: Eukaryota; Metazoa; Chordata; Mammalia; Primates; Hominidae.